This 43-nucleotide transfer RNA is filed under the name Mammuthus sp. Its description in RNAcentral is "partial tRNA-Thr". Lineage: Eukaryota; Metazoa; Chordata; Mammalia; Proboscidea; Elephantidae. The record is from RNAcentral.
AAUGGUCUUGUAAGCCAUAAAUGAAAGCCAUUUUCUAAGGGUA